Molecule: small RNA, 147 nt
Filed under: Echinops telfairi (small Madagascar hedgehog)
Lineage: Eukaryota; Metazoa; Chordata; Mammalia; Afrosoricida; Tenrecidae
Description: 7SK RNA (ENSETEG00000025369.1)
Rfam family: 7SK RNA
About the family: 7SK was discovered as an abundant small nuclear RNA in the mid-70s but a possible function has only recently been suggested. Two independent studies have found that 7SK RNA binds the CDK9/cyclin T complex (known as elongation factor P-TEFb). P-TEFb activates transcription by phosphorylating the C-terminal domain of RNA polymerase II.
Source: RNAcentral
UCCCUCCUGAAGCUGUACGCUCCGGGGAAGAAGGCAACCUUCCUCAAUAGGAGGAGGACUGUCCUUCAGUCAAGGGUAUCUGAGCGGCUGUGCUCCCUUGCUAGAAGCUCCAAACAAGCUCUCAAAAAACUACUUGAGUCGUUGAGU